This is a small nuclear RNA of Mugil cephalus (flathead mullet), 114 nucleotides long. RefSeq annotates it as U5 spliceosomal RNA. Lineage: Eukaryota; Metazoa; Chordata; Actinopteri; Mugiliformes; Mugilidae. The transcript has a single exon. The record is from RefSeq and is a predicted model, not a curated record.
CGCUCUUGUGUCUCUUCAAAUAAUAUAAAUCUUUCGCCUUUUACCAAGGAUAUCUGUGGAGAGGGAUGACAAGAGGUUUUCCCAAUUUUUUGAUUAUCUGCAUGUUGCGGGGAU